GUAGGUGGCAAGCGUUGUCCGGAAUUAUUGGGCGUAAAGCGCGCGCAGGCGGUUCUUUAAGUCUGAUGUGAAAGCCCACGGCUCAACCGUGGAGGGUCAUUGGAAACUGGAGAACUUGAGUACAGAAGAGGAAAGCGGAAUUCCACGUGUAGCGGUGAAAUGCGUAGAGAUGUGGAGGAACACCAGUGGCGAAGGCGGCUUUCUGGUCUGUAACUGACGCUGAGGCGCGAAAGCGUGGGGGAGCAAACAGGAUUAGAUACCCUGGUAGUCCACGCCGUAAACGAUGAGUGCUAAGUGUUAGGGGGUUUCCGCCCCUUAAUGCUGCAGCUAACGCAUUAAGCACUCCGCCUGGGAGUACGGCCGCAAGGCUG
This 371-nucleotide ribosomal RNA is filed under the name uncultured organism. RNAcentral describes it as "partial 16S ribosomal RNA". It matches the Rfam family "Bacterial small subunit ribosomal RNA", at positions 527 to 896 of the family's 1533-position model. The record is from RNAcentral.